RNAcentral lists this ribosomal RNA (253 nucleotides) under uncultured bacterium. RNAcentral's name for it is "partial 16S ribosomal RNA". It matches the Rfam family "Bacterial small subunit ribosomal RNA", at positions 524 to 776 of the family's 1533-position model. The record is from RNAcentral.
UACGUAGGGGGCAAGCGUUGUCCGGAUUUAUUGGGCGUAAAGAGCGUGUAGGCGGCCAUUCAGGUCAGCUGUGAAAACUCGAGGCUCAACCUCGAGACGUCGGUUGAAACCGUUUGGCUAGAGUCCGGAAGAGGAGAGUGGAAUUCCCGGUGUAGCGGUGAAAUGCGCAGAUAUCGGGAAGAACACCCGUGGCGAAGGCGGCUCUCUGGGCCGAUAUCGACGCUGAGGAGCGAAAGCGUGGGGAGCGAACAGG